CUGUAGCCAAUUAAGUCUGUUCUGCUUUCUUCCCUGUGGCGCCCCAUGUGCCAUGGCUACAAACCGAAACCUCCCGCAGUGUGUUGCAGGCUGCCCUAAAGGACUCUGUAGACAGCC
Small nucleolar RNA from Erinaceus europaeus (western European hedgehog), 117 nucleotides. Its record names the gene SNORA70. It matches the Rfam family "Small nucleolar RNA SNORA70". From Rfam's summary of the family: snoRNA U70 seems to be exclusive to mammals and is a member of the H/ACA class of snoRNA which contain H (ANANNA) and ACA box motifs. H/ACA box snoRNAs are involved in the conversion of uridines to pseudouridines (5-ribosyluracil) a constituent of structural RNAs (transfer, ribosomal, small nuclear, and small nucleolar). The record is from Ensembl. Lineage: Eukaryota; Metazoa; Chordata; Mammalia; Eulipotyphla; Erinaceidae.